RNAcentral lists this long non-coding RNA (1051 nucleotides) under Olea europaea subsp. europaea. Lineage: Eukaryota; Viridiplantae; Streptophyta; Magnoliopsida; Lamiales; Oleaceae. The record is from RNAcentral.
CUUGGUCUUUCGGGCUUGGAUUUUGCAAUGGAGAAAAGGCUUGAAAACCCCACAGAUAAGAGUGCCGUUGAAUAUUUAGCCGAGCAUGAAAAGUGGGAAAGAGCUAACAAACUCUGUUUGAAAAUCAUUAAGCGAUCGAUAUCUGAUUCCAUUCUAGGUGCCAUCCCUGAUAAUGAAAAUGCCAAAAGUUUUAUGGAUACCAUAGGAGAAAAAUUUAUUGAGUCUGAUAAAGCCGAAACUGGGGAUCUGAUGGAUAAAUUUAUGAGCAUGAAAUAUGAUGGUACAAGUGGUGUUAGGGAGCAUGUCAUGAAAAUGAUAAAUAUAUCAUCUAAGCUAAAAGCUCUUGACAUUCCCAUUGCGGAGCCUUUCCUGGUCUAUCAUGUUUUGAAUAGCCUUCCUAGCAAGUUUAAUCAGCUUAAGGUUACUUACAAUGCUCAGCGGGAUAAGUGGAAUUUGAAUGACCUCAUAGCAGUGUGUGCCCAAGAAGAGUAUAGGAUGCGCCGUGAAACUGUUGAAACUGUGCAAUUAGCUUUUCAGCCAUCACAGAAUAAGGGGCCUUCUCAUAAUCAUAAAUCUAAGUUCCGUAAGGGUAAUAAGUCCCAUCGAAGUCAGCAGAAUAAUAAUUUUAGUGGUCCAAAAGCAGUUAUAAAGAAAAAUGAUCAAUGCAAGUUCUGUAAAAAGAAGGGUCACUGGCAGAAAGACUGUUUUAAGUUCAAAAAUUGGUUGGAAAAGAAGAAGAGUUCUUCAGGUAUUCCCUUGGCCUUAGUUUGUUUUGAGUCUUCUUUAGUAGAUGUACCUUUGAAUUCUUGGUGGUUAGACUCAGUAGCUAGUAUUCAUAUUGCGAAUUCCUUGCAGGGGUUCAUAAGCAAACGGAGGCUAAGUGAGAAUGAAGUAAGUUUGAGCGUUGCAAAUGGAUUUCAAGUGAAGGUUGAAUUCAUAGGAGUAGUGAAAUUAACUUUAGAGUCUGGUUUUUAUCUUGUUUUGGAAAAUACAGUUUAUGUACCGCAGAUCAGACGGAAUUUAAUUUCUAUACCAAAACUUGAUGCUUGUG